Molecule: ribosomal RNA, 627 nt
Filed under: Triticum aestivum (bread wheat)
Lineage: Eukaryota; Viridiplantae; Streptophyta; Magnoliopsida; Poales; Poaceae
Description: partial small subunit ribosomal RNA
Source: RNAcentral
AUGAAGAUUAGUGGAUGGAAAGAAACACUUCUAUCUGCGGGAGGGAAGAAGAUCCUCCUGAAAUCUGUUGUACAAGCGAUCCCCACCUAUGCGAUGUCCGUCUUUAAAAUUCCUAAAAAACACUGCAAGGGAAUCACUGAUGCGAUGUCUCAUUAUUGGUGGGGAGACGAGGGCAACCAGAAGCGGAUGCAUUGGAUGGCUUGGUGGAAAAUGUGUGUACCCAAAAAUCAAGGGGGUGGGGGGAUGGGAUUCUGGGAUAUUCAUUGUUUCAACCUGGCAAUGUUGGCAAAACAAGCUUGGCGUAUUCUUGAGAAUCCAGAGUCCUUAUGUGCUACCAUGUUGAGAGCUAAGUAUUUCCCUGAUGGUGAUUUGUUGAAUACGAAGUUAAAGAAGGGAUCCUAUUUUACUUGGCAAAGUACAAUGGUGGGGGUUAAUUGCCUAAAUCAUGGUUAUGUAUGGCGUGCUGGAAAUGGUCACAAUAUUAAUAUUUUGAAAGAUGCUUGGAUCCUGGAUUGUGCAAACAAAAAAGUAAUCACACCUAGAGGGAGUAAUUUGAUCUCAAGGGUAUCUGAUUUGAUUGACCAACUUGGAGGAAAAUCUAGUUACACAAAGGUUGUGGCCAGUUGA